UGGGCUAUUCAUAAAUGUGCCCCUCUGGUCAAUCAGCUUGUUUUGUCUGUUCUGUGGCUUUAUGGAGGCUUUGUUUGCUCACCUGAAGUUUUGUUUGUUUGUUUAGUACUUUUCAUCCCCCAUCCCUGCCUUCGCAGACCCCUUUCCUCCCUUCCGCAGGCAGUUGAGCAGACCCCGGUUUCUAGCCUCGUUCUCCUCAAUCUCUCUUCCAUCACGCUGCUUUUGCAAUCUUUCCUACACGCAAAUCUCAGGAGACGGAGUUGCCACGUAAUCCUGAUGGUGCCUUCCUAUGACUUAGAGAAAAGUUCAGAGCCUGUGGAAUGGAUCUCAGGGCUCCCCUAGAUGUUCUCUCCUCUCUUCAGCCACCGCCUCUCCGGCUACAUGGACCCACCUUCCGAUCUCCAAACUCACUCUGUGGUCGUGCUGCUCUGGGCCUUUGCGUAAGCUGCUUUCUCUUUCUGGUCUGCUCUUCUCAGUAGUCAGCUUGAUGAGCUACCCCGGCUUAUUUUUCUUGCCCUCACUUAAGCCUUAUCUCCUCUUAAGUCUUCCCUGACUUACCCAAGACCUUGUCCUCAUCCCCUCUUGUUUCUCUUGUUUUCUGGUUGUUUGAGUCCUAUCCCAAUGACAGCUCCUUUCACAUUAUUUUGCCAUUACUCGUGAAACCCAAGUGUACCAGGCUUCAGCAGUCUAAGGAAAAACGCAGCCGCCUUCAGUGCAGGGCACAUUCAAAGGGCUUCUCUCCGUCGUCUGUUCACACAGGAGCCUCCGUGCACAGUUUCCCUGUGCAAGGGAAAAGUUUCUCAGAGUUUCAAAGAGGGUCACAGUGGGUGUUUGAACCCAAAAGUCCCUGAGACAUGUGUCAGUCAACUUAGAAAGUUUUUUCUGCCAAGGUUAAGGACAUGCCCGUGACACAGCCUCAGGAGGUCUUGACAACAUGUGCCUGAGUUAGUUGGGGCACAGCUUGGUUUUAUACAUUUUAUGGAGACAUGAUACAUUGAUCAAUAUGUGUAAGAUGUAUAGUGGUUCGGUCUGGAAAGAUGGGAUGAUUUGAAGGGCGGGGUUGUGGAGGCUUUCAGGUCAUAGAUAGAUAAGAGACCAACUGUUGCAUUCUUUGAUUAGCCUUUCACUGAAUACACAAUUUACAUGUGAGAGGGACGUAUAGGAAUAGUCACUUAUGCCUCAGUCUGGCUUAGUGAAUCUGCAUUUUUACAGAAACAGUAGGACAGAGGAAGCAAUCCAAUAUGCGUUGGUUUCAGAUGAAUGGAGGAAGACUUUGAGUUCUGUCCUUUGUCUGGCGCCUGUGAAGAUAAGCUAUCAAUUAAUAUUGUCAGGGUGAAAUUCGACAGAACUGUUUUAGGCGAAAGAUCUCAAGACCCACGAGGAAUUUCCUUGUAGAUAAAUAUGAGCGAGGUGUGUAGCUUUGUAAAUCUUUGUGG
RNAcentral lists this long non-coding RNA (1436 nucleotides) under Callithrix jacchus (white-tufted-ear marmoset). RNAcentral's name for it is "lncRNA (ENSCJAG00000081893.1)". Lineage: Eukaryota; Metazoa; Chordata; Mammalia; Primates; Cebidae. The record is from RNAcentral.